GCCCCUGUAGUAUAAAUUAAUCACGCUAGCCUUGUAAACUAGAAAUGGGAUCCAUAACCCCUAGGGCA
Molecule: transfer RNA, 68 nt
Filed under: Cercopithecus mitis (blue monkey)
Lineage: Eukaryota; Metazoa; Chordata; Mammalia; Primates; Cercopithecidae
Also listed under: 2 other names
Description: tRNA-Thr
Source: RNAcentral